UACUAUCUCUCUAAUAAACUAGAACCUCCUCAGAACACUUCUAAUGAGACCUAGGUUCUCUCAUUUGAGCAAUCACUCUGUAGUUGUCGCAAUAUAAGGGAAUCAGCUCCUCGCUUCCCUACACGACUCCUAGAUCUGUGAUGAACUUCUUCAUUCAGAUUCCCUUCUUUGUUACCUUUGCUACAGCAAUGUACUCCGC
Molecule: long non-coding RNA, 199 nt
Filed under: Musa acuminata (dwarf banana)
Lineage: Eukaryota; Viridiplantae; Streptophyta; Magnoliopsida; Zingiberales; Musaceae
Description: long non-coding RNA (MACU_LNC007147)
Source: RNAcentral